GCGAUGGCCUAUGUCCCCGCACCGGGCUACCAGCCCACCUACAACCCGACGCUGCCUUACUACCAGCCCAUCCCGGGCGGGCUCAACGUGGGAAUGUCUGUUUACAUCCAAGGAGUGGCCAGCGAGCACAUGAAGCGGUGGUGGUAAAUGGAAAUCCCUUCUAUGAGUACGGGCACCGGCUUCCCCUACAGAUGGUCACCCACCUGCAAGUGGAUGGGGAUCUGCAACUUCAAUCAAUCAACUUCAUCGGAGGCCAGCCCCUCCGGCCCCAGGGACCCCCGAUGAUGCCACCUUACCCUGGUCCCGGACAUUGCCAUCAACAGCUGAACAGCCUGCCCGUGAGUGGGAGGGCUGGGAGGGCCCCGGGUGAGGAGUGGGAAUGGUGAGAAUUGGGGUAGGGGGAGCUAAGAGGGGUUGCAGCCCAAGGUGUACUAACCCAGCACCUAGAGAAACGCCGGAGUCUAAUGGGUGUGUCAUAGAUAUCUGUCGACUCUUGGAGAAUAAUAUCGCUUCUUCCUCACUUCACAGACCAUGGAAGGACCCCCAACCUUCAACCCGGUAUGGCUUGGGGAAACAGAGAUGGAUGGUGGGGAGGGGGCACGGAUCUCCAGGGAAUCUGAGACAGCCAGAAAGGGAGUGGGCUGAGGGUUUUGGGGUGGGAGGUAGGGGAAGGGUAGAUAGAGUUCGUGGUCAGGUUUAGGGAGCAGAAGGAAUUGGGGAUGUUUUCCAGGAGGAGUGGGACCUCUCAGAAAAUUUGUUCUUGGGCUGGACAUGGUGGCUCACGCCUGUAAUCCCAGCACUUUGGGAUGCCAAGGCGGACAGAUCACGAGGUCAGGAGAUCGAUCGAGACCAUCCUGGCCAGCAUAGUGAAACUCUGUCUCUACUAAAAAUACAAAAAUUAGCUGGGCAUGGUGGCGCGCGCCUGUAAUCCCAGCUACUCAGGAAGCUGAGGCAGGAGAAUCGCUUGAACCAGGGAGUCGGAGGUUGCAGUGAGCCGGGAUCGUGCCACAGUACUCCAACCUGGUGACAG
This 1030-nucleotide long non-coding RNA is filed under the name Homo sapiens (human). RNAcentral's name for it is "long non-coding RNA NONHSAT180399.1". The record is from RNAcentral. Lineage: Eukaryota; Metazoa; Chordata; Mammalia; Primates; Hominidae.